UGUAAGUGUGAACGGCGAUGAGAACCACCACUUACUGUCUUAGGGGGUUAUGAUGUGCAGCAGCCAUUGCCUGGAAAGCGCUCCAUGCCUGAGACGGCCUUCCCUUGUACUACUCUCCUGUUGAUACCUAAAAUCAUCCCUCAUAUUAGCAUAUCGUGAAAGCAGUUUCUCACCGGGUUAUUGUAUCCUCGGGUGAGUUAGAUAGGACAAAGCAUAGGCCCGCUUUUACACUUCAGGCAAAAAGUUAAGGAACGUUACUUGCCCGACACAAAAUAACUGACUGCCCAAGCACCUGACUUCCGCUCCUCCCAUCUAGGUCUCCUGACUAAUCCCUUUAUCUUUCCAUACCUGGUCCUGAUCUCUAGCAGGACCUAAUUCCAUUCAUAACUGUUGAAAGUAUACCAUGAGCUACCUAUUCAUAAAAACUCCAAAAAGUGUUGAAAUUCUUCUGAGGAUGCAUUUAAGUGGGAUUCUUUUGACCAGAAAUGUGAAAACACAUGUUAUUGGAUUUAUUAAGCAUCUUCCUUGUGCUUAAUAAGUGUUUGAAUUCAGACAUUUCAGGAGUAAGCUUACAUUACCUAACCUCCCUGUUCCUCUCAACUAUCUAAUGUACACAUACAACAAUAUGAACAUGGUGGGGCAUGGUGGCUCACACCUGUAAUCCCAACACUUUGGGAGGCUGAGGCAGGCAGAUCACAUGAGCUCAGGAGUUCAAGACCAGCCUGAGCAACAUGACCAAACACUGUCUCUACUAAAAAUACAAAAAUUAGCCGGAGGUUGAAGUGAGCCAAGACUGCACCUCUGCACUCCAGCCUGGGGGACAGAGCGAGACAAUGUAUCAAAAAAAAAAAAAAAAAAGAAUGCAGUUAGCAGAGAGAUGAGAUAGAGAGUAACCACCCAUUUUACAGAAUAAUAAAAUAUUUUCUCUUUACAACUAACACAGUUUGAAAUGGGAGAUAUGAGCUCUUAGAUUUUGUUCUGAGGUUUAAAAAAGAUCAGAUUCUAUUACAGCACAGUUCACUCAAACAUUGUAGCAUACUCACAUUCUGAGUACUAUUUAUUAUGAACAGAAUUUCAGUGUCACAUGAAGUAAAAGUGGAUUAUCCCAAAACUCAUGGAAUAUAACGAGACUUGACCAGCAUUUCUUUUUUUUUUUUCUUCAGUAACCCACUUAUAAAGAAUAAUAGGGUCCUAAUAAGGACUAAUAAGAUUUAACAAGGAAUAAUUAGAGUUGUUCAUUUCUUCCAUCAUAUACAUUAUGAGUACUGUGCUGGAUCCAGAAAUGCUACUAAUUGUGUUAAAACUGUUGUAUGGGUGUGUUGCAGACAGUCACUGUUUCUCCUGAAAUGUAUGUGAGUUGUUUAGAAGCCUGGUGAGCGUGGUGUUAGCACGAGCAUCGUAUAAAGUUAACUAUGAAAGAUAAUUUUGACUCAUGAGGAACUCUCCAGGAGGGUAAGCACCAAAGUCAUAAUCUGGAUGCUUAGUGAACCGUAUACAGUGUUGUCAUUAGUGCUAACCCCACCAAAAGCCUCAUUCCCAUUUCCUGUUCUGGUUUCUUUCAUACUCUGGCUUUUCUCAACCUCCUGUGACAACUUUUUAUGUGCAGGGGCUUACACAAAAUGGGCAGAUUGUAUAAAUUUAGAGACUUGGUGUGAGAAAAAUACUGGUUUACCAAUUCAGAGGCUGAAAGAAGCACAGAAUUUCAGGUGGAGUUGGGGGGUCAUUUGGUCCAAGGAUAGCACACUGGUAUAACUGGCCUAAAGGCCUCCAGCAGCAUUUUCAUGGGUUCAGUAAUGUCACAAAAGAUUUUUAGGCAAGCAGGGCUCAGGUCUUGCCUUUUGCCUGCAUCCAUUACAGUCCUGUACACAUGGCCUUUGUACAGUCCGUACACAUGGCCUUUGCAUAGCUCAAGCUAGUCAUUUUUUUGGAGUGUCAGGCAAUAUUUUAAGGAUUGUUCAUAUACGAUUCAGUUAACUCUCACAAAACCCCUUCUGAGGUUGGUAUUAUUAUUUUUUUUAUUUAACCAUGAAGAAACUAAAGCCCAUAGAGGUUAAGUACUAGCUCUGUGUUAAGAGCUGAGUAAGCUCUUACUCAGCUGAGGGUAGAUAAGCUGAGAUUCCACCCUGAUCCCUGGCAACCUAGCACCUCACUCACCCACUGUUGAGUGACCAUUUGCUCUCAGUUUGAACACUCCAACAUAGGGAACUUAUGAUCUCCUAGAGUUGACCAAGAGGAUAAGCUCCGAAGACUCUAUUAGUAAAAUAAGAAUAAGAGGGCCAUGGAUGUUAGAAGGUAAAUCUCAAUCUGCUGUUGCCUCUGACAGCUUAAAAGCCAUCAGGUCAAAUGCCUCUAGUAAGGUUUGCACAGACUUUCAUAAUUUGGCACAUACUUGUCGCUUCAGCCUCAUUUCUUCCAGGCCUUCACGUGCCCUACCCUCCACCCUCUUUCUAGUAGUUUUCCAAGCGCAUCUUCCCUCCCCAUGUUUAUCUCUGUUUGUACAGGUUGCCUCUUCACUUGGAAGUCCUCAUCCUCCUCUUUCAGAUAACUUCAAGUGAUGGGGCCUGAAUGCAAGCAGACCAACGGAAAGGAGGAGGAAAGUGAGAGGAGCCCAGCCUUUUGGAAGUAGCAAUCAAGACUAGCAUGGGCAACGGGCACAGUGGCUCACGCCCAUAAUCCCAACACCUUGAGAGGCCGAGCUGCCAUGUGAAGAAGGACAUAUUUGCUUUCUCUUCUGCCAGGAUUGUAAGUUUCCUGAGGCCUCCCAGGAAUGCUGAAGUGUGAGACAAUUAAACAUUUUUCUUUAUAAA
Callithrix jacchus (white-tufted-ear marmoset) is the source of this 2807-nucleotide RNA transcript. RefSeq lists it as uncharacterized. The record is from RefSeq and is a predicted model, not a curated record. NCBI's taxonomy places the organism in Eukaryota, Metazoa, Chordata, Mammalia, Primates, Cebidae.